Molecule: non-coding RNA, 953 nt
Filed under: Pampus argenteus (silver pomfret)
Lineage: Eukaryota; Metazoa; Chordata; Actinopteri; Scombriformes; Stromateidae
Also listed under: 2 other names
Description: 12S ribosomal RNA
Rfam family: Bacterial small subunit ribosomal RNA
Source: RNAcentral
CAAAAGCUUGGUCCUGACUUUAUUAUCAACUCUAGCUAAAUUUACACAUGCAAGUAUCCGCGACCCUGUGAGAAUGCCCUAACAGUUUUCUGCCAGAAAACAAGGAACCGGUAUCAGGCACACCCCAACGGUAGCCCAUAACACCUUGCCCAGCCACACCCUCAAGGGAACCCAGCAGUGAUAAACCUUAAGCAAUAAGUGAAAACUUGACUUAGUUAAAGCCAAGAGAGCCGGUAAAUCUCGUGCCAGCCACCGCGGUUAUACGAGAGGCUCAAGUUGAUAAACCUCGGCGUAAAGUGUGGUUAAGGAAAUUUUCAACUAAAGCCGAACGCCUAUAAAAGCAGUGAUACGCUUAUUAAGGCAUGAAGCCCCUCUACGAAAGUGGCUUUAUAAACCCUGACUCCACGAAAGCUAUGAAACAAACUGGGAUUAGAUACCCCACUAUGCUUAGCCGUAAACAUUGAUAGAAUGCUACAUAUUUCUAUCCGCCUGGGAAUUACGAGCAUUAGCUUAAAACCCAAAGGACUUGGCGGUUCUUUAGAUCCCCCUAGAGGAGCCUGUCCUAUAACCGAUAAUCCCCGUUCAACCUCACCCUCCCUUGUUAAUCCCGCCUAUAUACCGCCGUCGUAAGCUUGCCCUGUGAAGGCCAAAUAGCGAGCAAAAUUAGUAUAACCCAAAACGUCAGGUCGAGGUGUAGCGCAUGAGAGGGGAAGAGAUGGGCUACAUUCGCUAGUCUAGCGAAUACGGAUGAUGUAAUGAAAACGUACAUACUGAAGGAGGAUUUAGCAGUAAGUGGAAAGCAGAGUGUCCCACUGAAGCAGGCUCUAAAGUGCGCACAUACCGCCCGUCACUCUCCCCGAGCAUUUCCAAACAUAUAACUAAAACAACAUAUGAGCAAAGGUGAGACAAGUCGUAACAUGGUAAGUGUACCGGAAGGUGCACUUGGUACAAAU